GACGAACGCUGGCGGCGUGCUUAACACAUGCAAGUCGAACGGAAAGGCCCUGCUUUUGUGGGGUGCUCGAGUGGCGAACGGGUGAGUAACACGUGAGUAACCUGCCCUUGACUUUGGGAUAACUUCAGGAAACUGGGGCUAAUACCGGAUAGGAGCUCCUGCUGCAUGGUGGGGGUUGGAAAGUUUCGGCGGUUGGGGAUGGACUCGCGGCUUAUCAGCUUGUUGGUGGGGUAGUGGCUUACCAAGGCUUUGACGGGUAGCCGGCCUGAGAGGGUGACUGGCCACAUUGGGACUGAGAUACGGCCCAGACUCCUACGGGAGGCAGCAGUGGGGAAUAUUGCACAAUGGGCGGAAGCCUGAUGCAGCAACGCCGCGUGCGGGAUGACGGCCUUCGGGUUGUAAACCGCUUUCGCCUGUGACGAAGCGUGAGUGACGGUAAUGGGUAAAGAAGCACCGGCUAACUACGUGCCAGCAGCCGCGGUGAUACGUAGGGUGCGAGCGUUGUCCGGAUUUAUUGGGCGUANAGGGCUCGUAGGUGGUUGAUCGCGUCGGAAGUGUAAUCUUGGGGCUUAACCCUGAGCGUGCUUUCGAUACGGGUUGACUUGAGGAAAGUAGGGGGAGAAUGGAAUUCCUGGUGGAGCGGUGGAAUGCGCAGAUAUCAGGAGGAACACCAGUGGCGAAGGCGGUUCUCUGGGCCUUUCCUGACGCUGAGGAGCGAAAGCGUGGGGAGCGAACAGGCUUAGAUACCCUGGUAGUCCACGCUGUAAACGGUGGGUACUAGGUGUGGGGUCCAUUCCACGGGUUCCGUGCCGUAGCUAACGCUUUAAGUACCCCGCCUGGGGAGUACGGCCGCAAGGCUAAAACUCAAAGGAAUUGACGGGGCCCCGCACAAGCGGCGGAGCAUGCGGAUUAAUUCGAUGCAACGCGUAGAACCUUACCUGGGUUUGACAUGGAUCGGGAGUGCUCAGAGAUGGGUGUGCCUCUUUUGGGGUCGGUUCACAGGUGGUGCAUGGCUGUCGUCAGCUCGUGUCGUGAGAUGUUGGGUUAAGUCCCGCAACGAGCGCAACCCUUGUUCACUGUUGCCAGCACGUUAUGGUGGGGACUCAGUGGAGACCGCCGGGGUCAACUCGGAGGAAGGUGGGGAUGACGUCAAGUCAUCAUGCCCCUUAUGUCCAGGGCUUCACGCAUGCUACAAUGGCUGGUACAGAGAGUGGCGAGCCUGUGAGGGUGAGCGAAUCUCGGAAAGCCGGUCUCAGUUCGGAUUGGGGUCUGCAACUCGACCUCAUGAAGUCGGAGUCGCUAGUAAUCGCAGAUCAGCAACGCUGCGGUGAAUACGUUCCCGGG
RNAcentral lists this ribosomal RNA (1344 nucleotides) under uncultured bacterium. Its description in RNAcentral is "16S ribosomal RNA". It matches the Rfam family "Bacterial small subunit ribosomal RNA", at positions 28 to 1378 of the family's 1533-position model. The record is from RNAcentral.